GAUGAACGCUGGCGGCGUGCUUAACACAUGCAAGUCGAACGGGAUCCCAGGAGCUUGCUCCUGGGUGAGAGUGGCGAACGGGUGAGUAAUGCGUGACCGACCUGCCCCAUACACCGGAAUAGCUCCUGGAAACGGGUGGUAAUGCCGGAUGCUCCAGUUGACCGCAUGGUCCUCUGGGAAAGCUUUUGCGGUAUGGAAUGGGGUCGCGUCCUAUCAGCUUGAUGGCGGGGUAACGGCCCACCAUGGCUUCGACGGGUAGCCGGCCUGAGAGGGCGACCGGCCACAUUGGGACUGAGAUACGGCCCAGACUCCUACGGGAGGCAGCAGUGGGGAAUAUUGCACAAUGGGCGCAAGCCUGAUGCAGCGACGCCGCGUGCGGGAUGACGGCCUUCGGGUUGUAAACCGCUUUUGACUGGGAGCAAGCCCUUCGGGGUGAGUGUACCUUUCGAAUAAGCACCGGC
RNAcentral lists this ribosomal RNA (461 nucleotides) under uncultured bacterium. Its description in RNAcentral is "bacterial SSU rRNA". It matches the Rfam family "Bacterial small subunit ribosomal RNA", at positions 28 to 497 of the family's 1533-position model. The record is from RNAcentral.